CCUACGGGUGGCAGCAGUGAGGAAUAUUGGUCAAUGGACGAGAGUCUGAACCAGCCAAGUAGCGUGAAGGAUGACUGCCCUAUGGGUUGUAAACUUCUUUUAUAUGGGAGUAAAAUGUUCCACGUGUGUGAUUUUGUAUGUACCAUAUGAAUAAGGAUCGGCUAACUCCGUGCCAGCAGCCGCAGUAAUACGGAGGAUCCGAGCGUUAUCCGGAUUUAUUGGGUUUAAAGGGAGCGUAGGUGGAUUGUUAAGUCAGUUGUGAAAGUUUGCGGCUCAACCGUAAAAUUGCAGUUGAAACUGGCAGUCUUGAGUACAGUAGAGGUGGGCGGAAUUCGUGGUGUAGCGGUGAAAUGCUUAGAUAUCACGAAGAACUCCGAUUGCGAAGGCAGUUCACUGGACUGCAACUGACACUGAGGCUCGAAAGUGUGGGUAUCAAACAGGAUUAGAUACCCUGGUAGUC
RNAcentral lists this ribosomal RNA (460 nucleotides) under uncultured bacterium. RNAcentral describes it as "partial 16S ribosomal RNA". It matches the Rfam family "Bacterial small subunit ribosomal RNA", at positions 338 to 795 of the family's 1533-position model. The record is from RNAcentral.